CCUAGCGGCGGACGGGUGAGUAACACGUGGGCAACCUGCCUCAUAGAGAGGAAUAGCCUUCCGAAAGGGAGAUUAAUACCUCAUAACAUUGCAGUUUCGCAUGGAACAGCAAUUAAAGGAGUAAUCCGCUAUGAGAUGGGCCCGCGGCGCAUUAGCUAGUUGGUGAGGUAACGGCUCACCAAAGGCGACGAUGCGUAGCCGACCUGAGAGGGUGAUCGGCCACAUUGGGACUGAGACACGGCCCAGACUCCUACGGGAGGCAGCAGUGGGGAAUCUUCCGCAAUGGACGAAAGUCUGACGGAGCAACGCCGCGUGAGUGAAGAAGGUUUUUUCCGGAAUCGUAAAAACUCUGUUGUCAGAGAAGAACAAGUUGGAGAGUAACUGCUCCAGCCUUGACGGUAUCUGACCAGAAAGCCACGGCUAACUACGUGCCAGCAGCAGC
This 442-nucleotide ribosomal RNA is filed under the name uncultured bacterium. RNAcentral describes it as "bacterial SSU rRNA". It matches the Rfam family "Bacterial small subunit ribosomal RNA", at positions 91 to 518 of the family's 1533-position model. The record is from RNAcentral.